UGAAUACGAGAUGCUACGGCGUCGAAGCAGUGUAUGUCAGACUUCCAAGAAAAGCUCGCAAUGUCAUAAAUAAAGAAUGCCUGUACCAUAACCGACACAGGUGGGUAGGUAGAGUAUACUAAGGGGCGCGAGAUAACUCUCUCUAAGGAACUCGGCAAAAUAACUCCGUAACUUCGGGAGAAGGAGUGCCUUCUUUAAGAAGGUUGCAAUAACAAGAUCCAAGCAACUGUUUAUCAAAAACACAGGUCUCCGCUAAGUCGUAAGACGAUGUAUGGGGGCUGACGCCUGCCCAGUGCCAGAAGGUUAAAGAAGUUGGUUAGCUUUUGCGAAGCUGAUGACUGAAGCCCUGGUGAACGGCGGCCGUAACAAUAACGGUCCUAAGGUAGCGAAAUUCCUUGUCGGGUAAGUUCCGACCCGCACGAAAGGCGUAAUGAUUUGGAUACUGUCUCGGAGAGGGACUCGGUGAAAUAGACUUGUCUGUGAAGAUGCGGACUACCUGCACCAGGACAGAAAGACCCUAUGAAGCUUUACUGUAACUUGAAAUUGAAAUUGGACUUUAUUUGCGCAGUAUAGGUGGAAGGCGUUGAAAGUAAUCUUGCGGGAUUAGUGGAGCCAUCAGUGAGAUACCACUCCUAUAAUGUUAGAUUUCUAACUUUGGAUCAUGAUCUGGUCAAAGAACAGUUUCAGGCGGGCAGUUUGACUGGGGCGGUCGCCUCCCAAAUGGUAACGGAGGCGUACAAAGGUUUCCUCUGAACGGGUAGAAAUCGUAUCUAGAGUGUAAAGGCAUAAGGAAGCUUGACUGUGAGACCUACAAGUCGAGCAGGGACGAAAGUCGGUCUUAGUGAUCUGACGGUGCUGAGUGGAAAGGCCGUCACUCAACGGAUAAAAGUUACUCUAGGAUAACAGGCUGAUCUCCCCCAAGAGUUCACAUCGACGGGGAGGUUUGGCACCUCGAUGUCGGCUCAUCGCAUCCUGGGGCGGUAGUACGUCCCAAGGGUUGGGCUGUUCGCCCAUGAAAGCGGUACGCGAGCUGGGUUCAGAACGUCGUGAGACAGUUCGGUCCAUAUCCGGUGUAGGCGUUAGAAUAUUGAGAGGAGCCUUCUUUAGUACGAGAGGACCGAGAAGGACAUACCUCUGGUGUACCAGUUAUCGUGCCAACGGUAAACGCUGGGUAGCUAUGUAUGGAGAGGAUAACCGCUGAAAGCAUCUAAGUGGGAAGCCCACCUCAAGAUGAGUAUUCUCAUC
This 1245-nucleotide ribosomal RNA is filed under the name metagenome. RNAcentral describes it as "bacterial LSU rRNA". It matches the Rfam family "Bacterial large subunit ribosomal RNA", at positions 1564 to 2818 of the family's 2925-position model. The record is from RNAcentral.